RNAcentral lists this ribosomal RNA (169 nucleotides) under uncultured Campylobacterota bacterium. RNAcentral describes it as "uncultured Epsilonproteobacteria bacterium partial 16S ribosomal RNA". It matches the Rfam family "Bacterial small subunit ribosomal RNA", at positions 338 to 524 of the family's 1533-position model. Lineage: Bacteria; Pseudomonadati; Campylobacterota. The record is from RNAcentral.
CCUACGGGAGGCAGCAGUGAGGAAUAUUGCACAAUGGGCGAAAGCCUGAUGCAGCAACGCCGCGUGGAGGAUGACGCAUUUCGGUGUGUAAACUCCUUUUAUAAGAGAAGAAAAUGACGGUAUCUUAUGAAUAAGUCCCGGCUAACUCCGUGCCAGCAGCCGCGGUAAU